Molecule: ribosomal RNA, 380 nt
Filed under: uncultured bacterium
Lineage: Bacteria
Description: partial 16S ribosomal RNA
Rfam family: Bacterial small subunit ribosomal RNA
Source: RNAcentral
UGGGGAAUAUUGCACAAUGGGCGCAAGCCUGAUGCAGCAACGCCGCGUGAGGGACGACGGCCUUCGGGUUGUAAACCUCUUUUGAGUAGGGAAGAAGCGAAAGUGACGGUACCUGCAGAAAAACGCACCGGCUAACUACGUGCCAGCAGCCGCGGUAAUACGUAGGUGCGAGCGUUGUCCGGAAUUAUUGGGCGUAAAGAGCUCGUAGGCGGUCUGUCGCGCCUGCUGUGAAAACCCGAGGCUCAACCUCAGGGCCUGCAGUGGGUACGGGCAGACGUAGAGUGCGGUAGGGGAGAAUGGAAUUCCUGGAUGUAGCGGUGGAAUGCGCAGAUAUCAGGAGGAACACCGAUGGCGAAGGCAGUUCUCUGGGCCGUAACUGA